AACGAACGCUGGCGGCGCGUUUUUAAGCAUGCAAGUCGGACGGUAGUAGUAGCAAUACUAUGAGAGUGGCGAACGGGUGAGUAACACGUAAGUGAUCUGCCCUGGGGAUGGGGAUAGCACAUGGAGACAUGUGGUAAUACCGGAUAACGUAACAAUAUUUAAAGAUGAUGUUAUGAAAAGAGCUACGGCUCUGCCCUGGGAUGAGCUUGCGGCCCAUUAGCUAGUUGGUGAGGUAAAGGCCCACCAAGGCGACGAUGGGUAGCCGGCCUGAGAGGGUGAACGGCCACAUUGGGACUGAGACACGGCCCAGACUCCUACGGGAGGCAGCAGUUGGGAAUCUUCGGCAAUGGGCGCAAGCCUGACCGAGCAACGCCGCGUGAGUGAUGUAAGGUUUUCGGAUUGUAAAGCUCUGUCUUCCGGGACGAUAAUGAACGGUACCGGAGGAGGAAGCCGACGGCUAACGUACGUGCCAGCAGCCGCGGUAAGCACGAGAGUA
Molecule: ribosomal RNA, 496 nt
Filed under: uncultured bacterium
Lineage: Bacteria
Description: bacterial SSU rRNA
Rfam family: Bacterial small subunit ribosomal RNA
Source: RNAcentral